CCUACGGGUGGCAGCAGUGGGGAAUAUUGGACAAUGGGCGAAAGCCUGAUCCAGCCAUGCCGCGUGUGUGAAGAAGGCCUUCGGGUUGUAAAGCACUUUCAGUGGGGAAGAAAGCCUUGGGGCUAAUACCCUCGAGGAAGGACAUCACCCACAGAAGAAGCACCGGCUAACUCCGUGCCAGCAGCCGCGGUAAUACGGAGGGUGCGAGCGUUAAUCGGAAUUACUGGGCGUAAAGCGCGCGUAGGCGGUCUGUAAGCCGGUUGUGAAAGCCCCGGGCUCAACCUGGGAACGGCAUCCGGAACUGUCAGGCUAGAGUGCAGGAGAGGAAGGUAGAAUUCCCGGUGUAGCGGUGAAAUGCGUAGAGAUCGGGAGGAAUACCAGUGGCGAAGGCGGCCUUCUGGACUGACACUGACGCUGAGGUGCGAAAGCGUGGGUAGCAAACAGGAUUAGAUACCCGGGUAGUC
This 464-nucleotide ribosomal RNA is filed under the name Vreelandella stevensii. Its description in RNAcentral is "partial 16S ribosomal RNA". It matches the Rfam family "Bacterial small subunit ribosomal RNA", at positions 338 to 795 of the family's 1533-position model. Lineage: Bacteria; Pseudomonadati; Pseudomonadota; Gammaproteobacteria; Oceanospirillales; Halomonadaceae. The record is from RNAcentral.